GCCAGUUUACUCAAGCGGUCAACGAGGGCAGACUGUAAAUCUGCUGCCAUUAUGGCUACCUAGGUUCGAAUCCUAGAGCUGGCA
RNAcentral lists this transfer RNA (84 nucleotides) under bacterium. RNAcentral's name for it is "tRNA-Tyr". It matches the Rfam family "tRNA". Rfam says of the family: Transfer RNA (tRNA) molecules are approximately 80 nucleotides in length. Their secondary structure includes four short double-helical elements and three loops (D, anti-codon, and T loops). The record is from RNAcentral.